This 504-nucleotide ribosomal RNA is filed under the name uncultured bacterium. RNAcentral's name for it is "partial 16S ribosomal RNA". It matches the Rfam family "Bacterial small subunit ribosomal RNA", at positions 28 to 523 of the family's 1533-position model. The record is from RNAcentral.
GAUAAACGCUAGCGGCAGGCUUAACACAUGCAAGUCGAGGGGCAGCAUAGAUUGUAGCAAUACAAUUGGUGGCGACCGGCGCACGGGUGCGUAACGCGUAUGCAACCUACCCGUCACAGGGGGAUAAACCGGAGAAAUCUGGUCUAAUACCCCAUAACAUAUGGAUCGGCAUCGGUUCAUGUUGAACUUGUCGGAGGUGCGGGAUGGGGAUGCGUAGCAUUAGCUUGUUGGUGAGGUAACGGCUCACCAAGGCGACGAUGCUUAGGGGGACUGAGAGGUUUUCCCCCCACACUGGUACUGAGACACGGACCCGAAUCCUACGGGAGGCAGCAGUGAGGAAUAUUGGUCAAUGGGCGCAAGCCUGAACCAGCCAUGCCGCGUGCAGGAUGACGGCUCUAUGAGUUGUAAACUGCUUUUGUACGAGGGUAAAGUGGGUUACGUGUAACCUUUUGAAAGUAUCGUACGAAUAAGGAUCGGCUAACUCCGUGCCAGCAGCCGCCGUAA